UCUUCUUUUUAAUAUGUCUAUUUUGAUCCAAUCCCGACAUUGGGAAGAUAGGGUCAAUCUUUACCUAACUUGGGUUGAGCUAUGCUUGUCAAAAAAGGACAUGUCAAAUCUUGUGUUUGGAUUGAAGUGUUGGAUAUCAGAUAAUCCAACCGCAACCUAAAUUUCUCUAACAAGGGGUUCAGCAAAUCUCAACUAGAAAAUAGCCCAAAUCAAAUGAUCCAACCAACUAAUGAAAUCUGAACACAAUAUGUACUUUCAUACCAAAGUGUCAAAUCAAACCCAGCCUAGACCUCACUGGAAUCAAUCCAUUUGACCCUAGUUGACUUGACGAGACUUAGUUGAAAAUUAUACCUGGGUAGAAAAAUUUAGAGGUCAAGUUUUGGGAUAUUGGUGUCCAAAUUAUUGUUGUUGCUGCCGCUGUUUUUGGUCUUUAUUUAUCUGUUUGUUUAUUU
Molecule: long non-coding RNA, 452 nt
Filed under: Phoenix dactylifera (date palm)
Lineage: Eukaryota; Viridiplantae; Streptophyta; Magnoliopsida; Arecales; Arecaceae
Description: long non-coding RNA (PDAC_LNC001569)
Source: RNAcentral